RNAcentral lists this ribosomal RNA (253 nucleotides) under uncultured bacterium. RNAcentral describes it as "partial 16S ribosomal RNA". It matches the Rfam family "Bacterial small subunit ribosomal RNA", at positions 524 to 776 of the family's 1533-position model. The record is from RNAcentral.
UACGGGGGGGGCAAGCGUUGUUCGGAUUCAUUGGGCGUAAAGGGUGCGUAGGCGGCUCGGUAAGUCGGGUGUGAAAUCUCGGAGCUUAACUCCGAAACUGCAUUCGAUACUGCCGUGCUUGAGGACUGGAGAGGAGACUGGAAUUCCUGGUGUAGCGGUGAAAUGCGCAGAUAUCAGGAAGAACACCAAUGGCGAAGGCAGCUCUCUGGGACGGUACUGACGCUGAGACGCGAAAGCGUGGGGAGCGAACAGG